CCGUGCUUCCUCAAGCUUCCUCAUACCCCUCGGCCUGAAUCACUCAACAUUUGGGGUCUCAUUGUUUGCGUGGAGUAGCUCGAGUAAGUUCUCAGGUAAGGUGAGCUCCUGAAUUACCAGAGAGCGAACAUGCGAUAAGUACCCCACUCAACAAUCUCAGAGAGAGUUUGUAUGGAAAUCGCCACAGCUUCUUCUCUGCUUGAAUUCUGCUUGUUGGUAUAAGCAGAACUCAGAGAAGAAGCUUAAAAUGAACCGGCGCUCAGUGACGUCACGGAUCGCACUGAAUCCCAUCCAAAGAAUUUUAUGUUCCAACCUGCUCGAGUCAUCGCGACCACACCCGAUGUCAAAAUUAAAUUAAAACGAAUUUUUUUCUGUUUACUUUUUAUUGAAAGAUAGCCGCGUCGCUUUUGUGAACGUUAUAAAAUUCAGAAUUGCAGAAAACUUUUGCGAAAAAACUGCUUGUGUUUACUGAUAACCUCUGUAUUUGAAGCUACUGAAUUGUUAUUUGAAGAACGUCAGCUGUUGUUCUGUACUGGUUGUUCGAGAUUCGUCGUAUAUUCUUCGCUUUUGUAACCUGUUACGAUGAACGCUUCGAGUGUGGCAGCUGCCGGGUGUGGAUGCGAGCAGGAAUGUUACUGCAGAAGCCUGGCUGUUGAAAAUAACAGGAAAAUACAUAUAUUGACGAAUCUAACAACAGAUUUACAUAUGAAAUUAGAUGAACUUUUAGCAAUGCAACGUCAACAUCCAAUUCAGCCUUUGGAUACUGUUGCAGUGAUAGUGCAAGGGGAUCAAACAGAUGGGUUUGUCUUUGCCAAAAUUAGUGACAAAAACGAGCUAGCCAAAUUUGAGGCGGAUUUGAUGCUGACGGAGCGUUUUUCUUUUAUCAAAACGUGGCUCCUUAAAAAACUUAAGUCCGUAGGAAGCAUACCAAGGAUGCAUGAAGCCCUGUACAUAAUUUUUAAUAGAGUUUUUUUUAAUGAAGUGCUCGUGGAGUGGACUAGGAGUAGGACGUAAAAAACAAAAGUAGAAUUUAGGACAAAUGUAAAUAUAUUACGAUUAUUAAAGGAAAUUGGAAAUAUUCAGGACAUAGCAGAAUUAGAAAAAAAAAAAUUAGCAAGAAGCUCCGUAACGCUGGUUCUGUUGCCCAAAGAACCGGGGUCAUUAAAAGCGUUAGUUGAGGGAAGUUUACGAAAAAGAAGAAAGAGGAAAAAAAUCUGAAUCUUUGUAAAUAUUUUAAAUAAUAUGAAUUUUAGAUUUAGUAGUUUUAAUAUCAAUUUUAGUUAUUUGUCUUCUUUGAAAACAUAU
Molecule: long non-coding RNA, 1305 nt
Organism: Anopheles arabiensis
Lineage: Eukaryota; Metazoa; Arthropoda; Insecta; Diptera; Culicidae
Exons: 3
Source: RefSeq, a predicted model, not a curated record